AACGAACGCUGGCGGCAGGCCUAACACAUGCCAGUCGAGCGCGCCCUUCGGGGUGAGCGGCGGACGGGUGAGUAACGCGUGGGAACGUGCCCUUCUCUGCGGAAUAGCCUCGGGAAACUGAGAGUAAUACCGCAUACGCCCUUUGGGGGAAAGAUUUAUCGGAGAAGGAUCGGCCCGCGUUGGAUUAGGUAGUUGGUGGGGUAAUGGCCCACCAAGCCGACGAUCCAUAGCUGGUUUGAGAGGAUGAUCAGCCACACUGGGACUGAGACACGGCCCAGACUCCUACGGGAGGCAGCAGUGGGGAAUCUUAGACAAUGGGGGCAACCCUGAUCGAGCCAUGCCGCGUGAGUGAUGAAGGCCUUAGGGUUGUAAAGCUCUUUCAGCUGGGAAGAUAAUGACGGUACCAGCAGAAGAAGCCCCGGCUAACUCCGUG
This 433-nucleotide ribosomal RNA is filed under the name uncultured bacterium. RNAcentral's name for it is "partial 16S ribosomal RNA". It matches the Rfam family "Bacterial small subunit ribosomal RNA", at positions 29 to 507 of the family's 1533-position model. The record is from RNAcentral.